GCUGCGGUGUCGGAGUGGUUAAGGAGUUGGACUUGAAAUCUAAUGGGCUAUGUCCGAGCAGAUUCGAAUCCUCUCCGCAGCG
Molecule: non-coding RNA, 82 nt
Organism: Cinara cedri
Lineage: Eukaryota; Metazoa; Arthropoda; Insecta; Hemiptera; Aphididae
Source: the annotation of a GenBank genome assembly